RNAcentral lists this transfer RNA (70 nucleotides) under Linckia multifora. Its description in RNAcentral is "tRNA-Gln". It matches the Rfam family "tRNA". From Rfam's summary of the family: Transfer RNA (tRNA) molecules are approximately 80 nucleotides in length. Their secondary structure includes four short double-helical elements and three loops (D, anti-codon, and T loops). Lineage: Eukaryota; Metazoa; Echinodermata; Asteroidea; Valvatida; Ophidiasteridae. The record is from RNAcentral.
UAGAAAGUAGUAUAAUGAAGUACAAAGAAUUUUGAUUUCUUAAGUGCUAGCUCAACCCCAGCCUUUNUAA